RNAcentral lists this ribosomal RNA (490 nucleotides) under uncultured bacterium. Its description in RNAcentral is "partial 16S ribosomal RNA". It matches the Rfam family "Bacterial small subunit ribosomal RNA", at positions 30 to 507 of the family's 1533-position model. The record is from RNAcentral.
AUUGAACGCUGGCGGCAGGCCUAACACAUGCAAGUCGAACGGUAACAGGAAGAAGCUUGCUUCUUUGCUGACGAGUGGCGGACGGGUGAGUAAUGUCUGGGCAACUGCCUGAUGGAGGGGGAUAACUACUGGCAACGGUAGCUAAUACCGCAUAACGUCGCAAGACCAAAGAGGGGGACCUUCGGGCCUCUUGCCAUCGGAUGUGCCCAGAUGGGAUUCGCUAGUAGGUGGGGUAACGUCUCACCUAGGCGACGAUCCCUAGCUGGUCUGAGAGGAUGACCAGCCACACUGGAACUGAGACACGGUCCAGACUCCUACGGGAGGCAGCAGUGGGGAAUAUUGCACAAUGGGCGCAAGCCUGAUGCAGCCAUGCCGCGUGUAUGAAGAAGGCCGUCGGGUUGUAAAGUACUUUCAGCGGGGAGGAAGGGAGUAAAGUUAAUACCUUGGCUCAUUGACGUUACCCGCAGAAGAAGCACCGGCUAACUCCGUG